UGAGGUGGAGGUGGCGGCGCCACAAAGUGCUGCGGUUGCAUCAUCUGAUGCUGCAUUACCAUAGCUGUUGUCGGAUACUGCAUCGCCACCCACUGCGGAUGCGAUUGUAGCGGUUGUUGUUGUCGCUGGUUCUGUUCCUGCGAAGGUUGUGUUGGUGAUUGCGAAUCCGAACCGUUGUUUUGUUGCAUCCUUAUCUUUUUAUUACAAUUAUUGCUAUCUCUAUUUUCAGUUUAAGAGAAUAUAAAUAAACAAACAAGACUCCAAUGGUUAUUUGAAUUGAAUUCUUUCUAAUUAUUUUCAGGGAAACGAAAAAUAUAGAAGAGAGAGAGAAAGGUACGGCUAGGGUCUAAGCAGAGGAUUUAACGAAGGGUGAUGGGAUGAGACGGAUGAUUUACUUCGAUGGUUUCAUCACAACCGUUCAUAUAUCAAAUUGACAAUAU
This 440-nucleotide long non-coding RNA is filed under the name Gossypium barbadense (sea-island cotton). RNAcentral describes it as "long non-coding RNA (GBAR_LNC016161)". The record is from RNAcentral. Lineage: Eukaryota; Viridiplantae; Streptophyta; Magnoliopsida; Malvales; Malvaceae.